CCGGAAACGAAUCUCCCGUCGUCACAUCCGCCCUGGCAGGCUUCCUUUAGCAGACCAUCAGUCGGCAAGUGUGGCCCGCGGCGCCAUUUCUUUGGUGGGCAAGGCAAGACUAUCCUACCAGUGGAGCAUUCAGGACUUAAUAAACUGCCCAUCCGAGGGUAUCAGGACUUGUCCGUUGCUUCAUCCAAACCAUUGAAAGUGGAAUGAGCCCACACUCCUCACCUCAAGCUACUGGUUUCAGGUCGAUGCACCCGGGCCACCUUUUGUCAUCGGUGCUACGAUGACCCAAAGUCACCUGGGUGCUUCCUUGCUCCUCCUGGACUGCCCCUCUUUCAGCUCAGGACGGUCCCUGUCCCACAACUUGUGCCCACUCUGUUCCACGUCUUCGGUGAAUUUUGGAUAAUGAUUCAAAUGCUUUUCCGUGGCACAAAUAAGUCACAACUAAAGUGACACCAGGCAGUGGGCCAUUCCUCACAGGACAGUCCCGAUUUUGACAGCUGAACCCGCAGUCCCGGAUUGUUACUGAAAUGUCCUGACUUUCUCUUUGAUCUCCUGCACUGAACAGCCAGAAAAAGAUACACAGUUUCUAACUUAAUUGGCUUUUGGCAGAGAGCUCAGAAUACUUUGCAGGUGCACGUAGAUACAUUUCUUACAAUUUGAUAAGCAAAAAAACAAUUGUAACAAUUUAAGAUAAGCAAAGAAACAAUUGUAACUAUUUACGAUAAGCAGGUCUCU
Molecule: long non-coding RNA, 735 nt
Organism: Xenopus laevis (African clawed frog)
Lineage: Eukaryota; Metazoa; Chordata; Amphibia; Anura; Pipidae
Exons: 3
Source: RefSeq, a predicted model, not a curated record